This is a non-coding RNA of Danio rerio (zebrafish), 435 nucleotides long. NCBI's taxonomy places the organism in Eukaryota, Metazoa, Chordata, Actinopteri, Cypriniformes, Danionidae. The record is from RefSeq and is a predicted model, not a curated record.
GUCUUUAAACAGUGUGGUAGUGUGACCGUGUAUAGGAUAAGUGGUAGUGAUUGAUGUUGAUAACAACCAAUCAGGGGCCAGUGCUGCCUAUUUUAGAGCCGGUUGGCUGUGUUAGGUGAUGUGUCACCUCCAGCCCCGCCUUUCUUGUUCCGCGUUUGUUGACAUCUGUUUCAGCCUGGUUUUUCGUUGGUUUUCCUGUUGGUUGCCAUGGAGUUAAUGACUGCCACCCAUUCAGCUCGCUUGUAGCAUAAAUGGAGAUGACUAAUUCGUAAUACAUGAGUGUACUACUCCCGGCUUGGAACUGAGGUCCCAUGGGUGCAGGAUCUUGAGGUGGUGGUGGUGUCACUGCACUUGACAUUUUUGCUGUGGACGGUUUGGGAAGUGUGGAGUGUGUGGAUCUAGUGUGGUGUGUGUGUGUGGAAGUGUGCUUUUUGA